Solanum stenotomum is the source of this 2454-nucleotide RNA transcript. RefSeq lists it as uncharacterized. The record is from RefSeq and is a predicted model, not a curated record. The transcript has 8 exons. Lineage: Eukaryota; Viridiplantae; Streptophyta; Magnoliopsida; Solanales; Solanaceae.
UGUCCACAUUGUCUUUCUAGAUUUCAGGUUUCACUCUUGUCAUGUUUCUCUGAUACCAGCAUAUGGUUGAUCAUUACUGUUUUGUGCACAUUCAUUGUUUCUCUUUAUACAUUCCAGCUUCUUCAAUUUGACCCUGUUUCCUCAUUGUGGAGCACAUACAUCUAAUCUGUGCUUUUUUCCUUUGCAAAGCAACAACUUCACUCAUAGUUGGAUGAAAGAUAAGAAGUGGAAAAAGAAGGGGAAAACUUUCAGUCAAUUAAAUUUUAAAAAAAUAAACUUAUGAAGAAAAUGGAGGAUGCAGAGGUUAAGCCAAGUAGUAUGAUAGAUCAAGCUUUUCUCCCUAUUAUUGACUCAGCAGGAGUCUCCCCUUCUGUUGCUUCUCCAGCUCAUUCAUCUAGCGUUUGUAGAGCUGCUUCACAAGACAAAGAGAAAGACGAGGAAGCUUUCAUGGACCUUUCUGGUUUUAUAUUUUUGUGCAAUAGAGAGACAAAACUCGAUUGUUUCAGAUUUCGUGUUUUUGGGGUUGGUUCAAAUAAAAAGGAAAUGGUAGAAAAGAUUAAACCUCAAACAAAGCUCUUCCUCUUUGAUAUUGAGUUGAGGCUUUUGUAUGGGGUGUAUGAGGCAACAUCCACUGGAGGAAUAAACUUGGAAGCACAUGCUUUUGGAGGCAAAUUUCCAGCACAGGUGAAAUUUUAAAUUUUUAAGGAAUGUCUUCCCUUGCAAGAAUCUUCUUUCAGACACACCAUAAUGAACAAUUAUCAUCGCAGAAAGUUUGAACCCGAAUUAAAUGGUUAUCAAGUGAGGAGUCUAUUAUCCUUAUUUUGUCCCCCGACUGCAUCAGCAACAGCAGCAGUUGUGUCCCAUCCAUUGGCACCGUGUUUGGCUAAUGUUGGCUUGCCAAAGAUUAUGCCUGCCUUGGUUGUGGAAGAUCAAGUUAAGUUGUUGUCGUAUCCUCAGGAAGUUGGUUCAUCAAUGGCCAAUGUUGGCCCACUAAAUACUAAUCCUGCUUUUGCUAAGGAACAUCAGGAUGAACCCAAGCACCAUCCUCGUUUGUCAUCCGCUUUUGUCGAUGAGCAAAAUGUUGGUGAUGCUGUAGAAAUUGAUUCAUCUGAGGACACCGAAGGUGAAUCUGACUGGCAGGAUGAUAUUUCUGGCUUUAUAUUCAUGUGUGGUAGAAAUACAAAACAUGAUUGUUACAGAUUCCGUGUUUUUGGGCUUCCUUCGAAUAAACAAGAAAUGAUAAAAAAGAUUAAGCCAGGAGCAAAGCUUUUCCUGUUUGAUUUCGAAGCAAAGCUUCUGUAUGGUGUAUAUGAGGCAACAUCCACUGGAAUAAUAAACUUGGAACCACUUGCUUUUGGAGGCAAAUUUCCAGCACAGGUGAAAUUUCGAAUUUUUAAGGAAUGUCUUCCCCUGCCAGAAGCCUCUUUCAGACACGCUAUAAAGGGCAAUUAUCGUGACAGAAAGUUUGAACCCGAAUUAAAUGAUCAUCAAGUGAGGAAUUUAUUAUCUUUAUUUCAUCCCCUACCUGCAUCAGUAACAGCAACAGCGGUGCCCCAUCCACUGAAAAAGGUGGGCCAGUCUUUUGCUAAUGUUGACAUGCCAAAGAUUACACCCGCUUGGGCUAUGGAAGACCGGGUUAAGUUGCUGUCCUGUCCCCAGGCAAAAGUGGGUUCAUCAUUGGCCAAUGUUCCACCACCAAAUACAAUUCCUGCUUUGUAUAUGGAACAUCAUGCUAAGUAUUCCUCGAUGCCCACUUCUGUGGAGAAUCCAUAUAUGACCAGAAUGCAGCACGUUCAUCCUCCACCCAUUGUGGAAUCUCAACGAGUCUAUGAACUCCAAAGUGCUCAGCAUGGAUGGCCUAGAACCACGAGCUUCAUGGAGAGUGCUCUUACAGUUGCAGAACCUAAACAGUUGACUGCUCCCAGGCAUGCAUAUUCUCAUCAACCAUAUGUCACUCAAGGCAUUUCAACUGAUAUACGGAAUCCAUAUCACAGGUAUGGAUCAAUGCAAAGUGGGGUCGUGUCGCAGCCACAUCUCAUGGUGCUAAAUGACAGGAAUUACCAAUUGUACUCGGGAGUAGAGCGAGGAAUGCUGCCACCUCACGAGAGUAGUGCUACACGCAACUACUUCUUUGGCCCUUCAGCUCCUUAUGCUCCUCCAGUUCUGCAGCAAUAUGCUUCAUCAGAAGCUGCAAUACUGGAAGGGACUUCUUCCAUGUCAUACCAGCGUUCCCUUAUAAGGCGUUAUGGGUAGACUUUUGAUGAUUAGGUUGUUAUCGGAAUGAUAUGCAUGUAAAAGAAUAUCACCAAUAGUCUCAACUUUCUUUCUGAAGACAUCUGUUGUGCCCUGGAGUCAAAAUGUAGAUUACUUUUAGGAAGCUAGCCCUCUCUCUCUAAAAACUAAUAUUAUCAGUUGUGUGGCUAAUAGUGGUAAACUUAGAAUUUGCUUUAUUCA